UACGUUGGAGUGAUGCAAUGGAUGGUUGUAUGAUAACUGCACUAUUACAUCAAGUGUUGUCUAGUCACAAAAGAAGUGACAAUGACUUUUCAUCAUUUCACGUGUCCAAAGCAAUCGAGAGCGUGCACAAUGGAUGCGGAGUGAUGGUGUCUGAUAAGAAUGUGAGGGCGCGAUUGAAAACUCUAAAAAAAGAAUAUGUCGAAGUUCGUCAGUUGUUAAGCAUGAGUGGUUUUGGGUUAGAUCCUCACACUGGACGUGUCACAGCCGAUGUACUAGCUUGGGAGGAGUUGUUGAAGAAUUUGGAAAGUGGAGGACCAAACUUUGUUCUCGUUAUGAUAAUUUGGAGGCUAUUUUUGGAAAUGAUUCUGCUACAGGAGAUCGUGCUGUAACCGGCAAUGACAUUUUAUCCCCCGAUCAUGAUGAAACUGUGCAUGAAAUUGAUGGUCAAAAUGAGGAUACGGAUCCAAGCCCCAUUCGCGCUCCUAAGCAUAAUGCCGAAGGAGGAACUAACAAAGUUCGCCGUCGACGUACCCAACCUAAUGAUGAGAGUCUCGUUGCCCUAUCAAGCAUUGCCGAAUCAUCCAAAAAAAUUGCUAUCGCUAUGGAGACUCAAGCAACAUUAGAUACGCUAAACCACAUCAAUUGGCAGUUGGUUCUAGAAAAAUUACA
Long non-coding RNA from Olea europaea var. sylvestris, 669 nucleotides. RefSeq lists it as uncharacterized. Lineage: Eukaryota; Viridiplantae; Streptophyta; Magnoliopsida; Lamiales; Oleaceae. The transcript has 3 exons. The record is from RefSeq and is a predicted model, not a curated record.